Molecule: ribosomal RNA, 253 nt
Filed under: uncultured bacterium
Lineage: Bacteria
Description: partial 16S ribosomal RNA
Rfam family: Bacterial small subunit ribosomal RNA
Source: RNAcentral
UACGGAGGGUGCAAGCGUUGUCCGGAUUCAUUGGGUUUAAAGGGUGCGCAGGCGGGACAUUAAGUCAGGGGUGAAAGACGGUUGCUCAACAAUCGCAGUGCCUUUGAUACUGGUGUUCUUGGGUAACCUUGAGGUAGGCGGAGUGGGUGGUGUAGCGGUGAAAUGCAUAGAUACCACCCAGAACUCCGAUUGCGAAGGCAGCCUACUGGAGGUCAACCGACGCUCAGGCACGAAAGCGUGGGGAUCAAACAGG